AACAUACUCCCUCUGUUCAAAAUUACUUGUCACAAAAAUAAUGUAUCUACAACUAAAAUACAUCUAGAUACAUUCAUUUCUUGGACGAGUAAUUCAGAACGGAGGGAGUAGCUG
Non-coding RNA from Triticum aestivum (bread wheat), 114 nucleotides. The record is from Rfam. NCBI's taxonomy places the organism in Eukaryota, Viridiplantae, Streptophyta, Magnoliopsida, Poales, Poaceae.